CGUGGCCUUACGGCGGGCGCACCAAUGGCGGGGAAACUGAGGCCGAAGCGAAAGUGGAGGCAAUACAAKCCUGUGAAGGGGAAGAACAAAACGUAAGUGAAUGUAGAACUGCAUUGAAGAAAAAAUUUGAGAAGUAUUUGCCAAGUCGUGGUCAUUGUCUUGGUGAGAGCCACAUAUGCCACCUCCAAAGGGAAAGCCGUCCUCGCAGCCACGGCAGUGACAAGGAGUAAGGAGACACAACCCUCUGUCCCUGCAGAGUCUGGGCCAUCUGUAUGCAGUGGGAAGUCAGUUGGCUGGAGGCUUUCUGAAAGCUGGAGUUGCUCCAUCAACAGAAAUURUUGAAAGAUGUUUCUUUGAGUUCAGUCCUGUAAGUCAAGUGGGACUUCAGAUGAU
Molecule: long non-coding RNA, 393 nt
Filed under: Dromaius novaehollandiae (emu)
Lineage: Eukaryota; Metazoa; Chordata; Aves; Casuariiformes; Dromaiidae
Description: lncRNA (ENSDNVG00000014829.1)
Source: RNAcentral